GUGGCGAACGGGUGAGUAACACGUGAGCAACCUGCCCUGGACUCUGGGAUAAGCGCUGGAAACGGCGUCUAAUACUGGAUAUGAGCCCCUAUCGCAUGGUGGGGGUUGUAAAGAUUUUUUGGUCUGGGAUGGGCUCGCGGCCUAUCAGCUUGUUGGUGAGGUAAUGGCUCACCAAGGCGUCGACGGGUAGCCGGCCUGAGAGGGUGACCGGCCACACUGGGACUGAGACACGGCCCAGACUCCUACGGGAGGCAGCAGUGGGGAAUAUUGCACAAUGGGCGAAAGCCUGAUGCAGCAACGCCGCGUGAGGGAUGACGGCCUUCGGGUUGUAAACCUCUUUUAGCAGGGAAGAAGCGAAAGUGACGGUACCUGCAGAAAAAGCGCCGGCUAACUACGUGCCAGCAGCCGCGGUAAUACGUAGGGCGCAAGCGUUAUCCGGAAUUAUUGGGCGUAAAGAGCUCGUAGGCGGUUUGUCGCGUCUGCUGUGAAAUCCCGAGGCUCAACCUCGGGCCUGCAGUGGGUACGGGCAGACUAGAGUGCGGUAGGGGAGAUUGGAAUUCCUGGUGUAGCGGUGGAAUGCGCAGAUAUCAGGAGGAACACCGAUGGCGAAGGCAGAUCUCUGGGCCGUAACUGACGCUGAGGAGCGAAAGGGUGGGGAGCAAACAGGCUUAGAUACCCUGGUAGUCCACCCCGUAAACGUUGGGAACUAGUUGUGGGG
This 718-nucleotide ribosomal RNA is filed under the name Microbacterium aurantiacum. RNAcentral's name for it is "partial 16S ribosomal RNA". It matches the Rfam family "Bacterial small subunit ribosomal RNA", at positions 95 to 827 of the family's 1533-position model. The record is from RNAcentral. Lineage: Bacteria; Bacillati; Actinomycetota; Actinomycetes; Micrococcales; Microbacteriaceae.